This 1531-nucleotide long non-coding RNA is filed under the name Gallus gallus (chicken). Its description in RNAcentral is "lncRNA (ENSGALG00010013962.1)". Lineage: Eukaryota; Metazoa; Chordata; Aves; Galliformes; Phasianidae. The record is from RNAcentral.
CUGUGAGGGUUCGGUGUCUGCAGCGGGGCGUGAUGCUGCACCACGCGUACAGAAGCAGAAAGCUACACCAGAGCUACAACUUGGCUCUUCUGGCAAUGCAUAGCCAGACCUCUUCAGGAUCAGAGCUGGACAAGGAAGCGAUCAAAAGCAGCAAACAAACCUAAAUGUGCUGCUUCCUGCCUUUCAGAGGCAAGCCAAACUACUUCACAAACUGGGGGCUUAAACAGGAAAGGAGAUGAUACUGCCUCAAACCCCGCUUCCCGCAGUACCUCAAUACUUCCGUCCACAAAAUCAUCAGGUGCAAGCACACCAAAAGCCACAAGUCAUCCUGCUUGAUCCUCAGUUACCAGCAGCAUUCAAACAUCAAAAUCAGAGCCUCAUCCACCAAGCUGCAAAACUUCUGUAGGACCAUAGUCAAAGAGCUGCACUUAGGCUGAGAUGAAAACUGUUUCAGUAGCUGAGCUGAAGAAAUGACGCUCACUUUCACCUUUGCCGCAUCACUGCACUGUUCACUACCGGGAAAUGGAGGUGGCAUUCAGACCAGCCGCUCUGCUGGAAGAUGUUGCUGUGGGGUCAUUACUGGCAGUGAGUUGGCACUUAGUGAUGGUGAACUCUGUACUAACUUCUGCCACAGAGAAUCAGAGACAUUUGGCAGAAUCACCAAGGUUGGAAAAGACCUCCAAGAUCCUCUAGUCCAACUAUCCACCUACAACUGCUGGGUGAGAACAGGCAAUAAUUUGAAUUGUAUGAGGUUAACUGCUAGACAAUAACACAUGUAAUCAUUACUAUGGUUGUUAUAUGCCUUGUCAAUGGUAUUACAGUAAGAAUCACCCAGACUAAAGAAGAAAGAGUUCUGAUGGAAGCAGAACUAACUUCAGCAAGCAGUAAUCCAACACCAUGCAUCACCCCUUUCACACUGAAGGACUGUUAUAACAAGAUGGUGUCGAAAGUCAUAGACUAAAUUAACUCCAUGUACAAUUUACUGGGAUGGCCUCCCACUGGGAGGGGGAAGGGAAGUAAGCAAAAGGCUGCUUGGUGUUAAGCUGCUUGCUGGGUUAAACCACAACAGCACAUUGGAAGAAACAUACUAUCACAUGCAGUCAGCUGAAUUUACCCAGAGCUGGAAUGAGACAGGAAAAAAAAACCAUCAUUAUGGUGGUGUACGCAUCUGAGGCCAGUAACACCAAGCCAGACUAGGGGUCCCAACACUGAGGAAGCCCUUCGUGUUGAUACCUCCAGCCACAGGAAAAGGCAGUGCCUGCUUAAGUCCAGAAAGUAAAACAUUUCUGCAUUAUGGGAAGGUUUGCCCAUAGGAAAACCGAUUUGAACUCCAGAUGACAGAACUGCCUGUUCAGUAAGUCAGGAUCAAGGGCAAUGCUGUUAUCCUUCAUGUCCACUGUGACCCUCACAUUAGGACCUCCAGUCUCAGGGCAGGAUGAAGAAUAAAACUGAAUGCUAAUACUCUAAAAUGAAGUGAAAAAUCAUUUAAAAAUUCAACAUUUUCUUUUUCCUUGCCCUGCUAGCCUUCCCC